Molecule: long non-coding RNA, 677 nt
Organism: Oncorhynchus keta (chum salmon)
Lineage: Eukaryota; Metazoa; Chordata; Actinopteri; Salmoniformes; Salmonidae
Exons: 4
Source: RefSeq, a predicted model, not a curated record
UAGAAGUUAGGAAGCAAUGUCAUUUAGGUGUCAAAUUUGGAAGGUUGGUUAAAUAUCAUCUCUUAGUUAUCGUUCCCCUCGACAUUUCAGUCUAGUAGAGAGCUUCCCCUUUACAUGCCAUUUCAAUCUGGCAGGGAGCUUCCCCUUUUCAUUCCAUUUCAAUCUAGUAGGGAGGUUCCCCUUUUCAUUCCAUUUCAAUCUAGUAGGGAGGUUCCCCUUUACAUUCCAUUCCAGCAGGGAGGUUCCCCUUUACAUUCCAUUCCAGCAGGGAGGUUCCCCUUUACAUUCCAUUCCAGCAGGGAGGUUCCCCUUUACAUUCCAUUCCAGCAGGGAGGUUCCCCUUUACAUUCCAUUCCAGCAGGGAGGUUCCCCUUUGCAUUCCAUUCCAGUAGGGAGGUUCCCCUUUACAUUCCAUUCCAGUAGGGAGGUUCCCCUUUACAUUCCAUUCCAGUAGGGAGGUUCCCCUUUACAUUCCAUUCCAGUAGGGAGGUUCCCCUUUACAUUCCAUUCCAGUAGGGAGGUUCCCCUUUACAUUCCAUUCCAGUAGGGAGGUUCCCCUUUACAUUCCAUUCCAGUAGGGAGGUUCCCCUUUACAUUCCAUUCCAGUAGGGAGGUUCCCCUUUACAUUCCAUUCCAGUAGGGAGGUUCCCCUUUACAUUCCAUUCCAGUAGGGAGGU